Oryzias latipes (Japanese medaka) is the source of this 532-nucleotide non-coding RNA. The record is from RefSeq and is a predicted model, not a curated record. Lineage: Eukaryota; Metazoa; Chordata; Actinopteri; Beloniformes; Adrianichthyidae.
GCUUCUGCAAACAGACUGGAGGUGUGGGGGAAAAGCCUCUCCUGACAGAUUCAGGAAGCGGUCGGUCUGAAGUUAGUCAUCAUCCUUCUGGGUUAAUAGCAUGAAUGUUUCAGACUUCUCAGGCUACGGAGUUUGCCUGAUGUCUGGUGGAAAUGCUUUGAUUCAACAGUUUUUGCUCCGUUUAAUGUUUUUAGAAGCUUUCUUAGUGCGUGUGCAGACUGGACACAUUGGCUCCACUUUAAGUGAACCAGAGUUGCGUUCCCCUCAUAAUCUGGAAAAAUGUUUUAAUCUGAAGACACCCCAGUGGACCCUGGUCCAAGACCAGGAACCGCUCUCUGACCCAUCUUUGGAGGUGGUUUUGGUUCCAAUCGGACUGAGCUUCGGUUUGCUCUGACAUUCCUGUCUGAAUACCAUCCUUUCCCGGAGCCGAACAACUGAACCACAACGGCCACCGUAGCCGAGUAGAAACGUAGCAACAGAUGAGUCACGGAGAAACACAAAGCAACGAUUGUCGUGUUAUCAAACAGGAAAA